Molecule: ribosomal RNA, 468 nt
Filed under: uncultured bacterium
Lineage: Bacteria
Description: partial 16S ribosomal RNA
Rfam family: Bacterial small subunit ribosomal RNA
Source: RNAcentral
GACGAACGCUGGCGGCGUGCUUAACACAUGCAAGUCGAACGGAAAGGCCCUGCUUUCGUGGGGUGCUCGAGUGGCGAACGGGUGAGUAACACGUGAGUAACCUGCCCUUGACUUUGGGAUAACUUCAGGAAACUGGGGCUAAUACCGGAUAGGAGCUCCUGCUGCAUGGUGGGGGUUGGAAAGUUUCGGCGGUUGGGGAUGGACUCGCGGCUUAUCAGCUUGUUGGUGGGGUAGUGGCUUACCAAGGCUUUGACGGGUAGCCGGCCUGAGAGGGUGACCGGCCACAUUGGGACUGAGAUACGGCCCAGACUCCUACGGGAGGCAGCAGUGGGGAAUAUUGCACAAUGGGCGGAAGCCUGAUGCAGCGACGCCGCGUGCGGGAUGACGGCCUUCGGGUUGUAAACCGCUUUCGCCUGUGACGAAGCGUGAGUGACGGUAAUGGGUGAAGAAGCACCGGCUAACUACGUG